CUUGCUUCUCUUGAGAGCGGCGGACGGGUGAGUAAUGCCUAGGAAUCUGCCUGGUAGUGGGGGAUAACGUUCGGAAACGGACGCUAAUACCGCAUACGUCCUACGGGAGAAAGCAGGGGACCUUCGGGCCUUGCGCUAUCAGAUGAGCCUAGGUCGGAUUAGCUAGUUGGUGGGGUAAUGGCUCACCAAGGCUACGAUCCGUAACUGGUCUGAGAGGAUGAUCAGUCACACUGGAACUGAGACACGGUCCAGACUCCUACGGGAGGCAGCAGUGGGGAAUAUUGGACAAUGGGCGAAAGCCUGAUCCAGCCAUGCCGCGUGUGUGAAGAAGGUCUUCGGAUUGUAAAGCACUUUAAGUUGGGAGGAAGGGUUGUAGAUUAAUACUCUGCAAUUUUGACGUUACCGACAGAAUAAGCACCGGCUAACUCUGUGCCAGCAGCCGCGGUAAUACAGAGGGUGCAAGCGUUAAUCGGAAUUACUGGGCGUAAAGCGCGCGUAGGUGGUUUGUUAAGUUGGAUGUGAAAUCCCCGGGCUCAACCUGGGAACUGCAUUCAAAACUGACUGACUAGAGUAUGGUAGAGGGUGGUGGAAUUUCCUGUGUAGCGGUGAAAUGCGUAGAUAUAGGAAGGAACACCAGUGGCGAAGGCGACCACCUGGACUAAUACUGACACUGAGGUGCGAAAGCGUGGGGAGCAAACAGGAUUAGAUACCCUG
RNAcentral lists this ribosomal RNA (714 nucleotides) under uncultured bacterium. RNAcentral's name for it is "bacterial SSU rRNA". It matches the Rfam family "Bacterial small subunit ribosomal RNA", at positions 79 to 789 of the family's 1533-position model. The record is from RNAcentral.